This 24-nucleotide non-coding RNA is filed under the name Rattus norvegicus (Norway rat). Lineage: Eukaryota; Metazoa; Chordata; Mammalia; Rodentia; Muridae. The record is from RNAcentral.
UGGCAUUUCUCAGUGGCCCAGAGG